Molecule: long non-coding RNA, 460 nt
Filed under: Sorghum bicolor (sorghum)
Lineage: Eukaryota; Viridiplantae; Streptophyta; Magnoliopsida; Poales; Poaceae
Description: long non-coding RNA (SBIC_LNC008816)
Source: RNAcentral
CAAUCAUUAAAAUUGCUAAAAAUGUUAUCACUCACUGUCCCGAAUAUUGUUAUUCUCUCUCUAAAAAGAUUCAAUGCAGAAGAGGCAUGGGUUAUGCAAAAAGAUACGAGGAAAUAAAAAGGGGCAAGUGCCCCGAACCUCGGUAAAGAAAGAAAAAGAGUGAGACGAGAGGUAAAAAUGGACAAGUGUCCGAAGUAGAAUUAGGGGUACAAAAAUGCCCACUUGAGCGGAAAAAAUGGACAAGUGUCCGACAGUAGAAUUAGGGGUAUCUACUACCCACCUGAAAAAAAAAGAGAGAGAAAAAGAUAGCCCAUGUUCUCCCAAAGCAAAGAUCAAAAAGAAGAGGAGAGAUAGCAAUAUGAGGAGCAGUGAGAACUAAGAUUUAUUAACACUAUUGCAUUUUCACCAUCACUAUCAUUUACUCCACCACACAUGCACAUCUUGAUUUAAUUAUAUGCUG